ACGGGUGAGUAACGCGUGGGCAACCUGCCUGUUACAGGGGGAUAACACAGGGAAACUUGUGCUAAUACCGCAUAACACAACGAGGUAGCAUUACCUUGUUGUCAAAGGAGUAAUCCGGUGACAGAUGGGCCCGCGUCCAAUUAGCUAGUUGGUGAUGUAACGGACCACCAAGGCGACGAUUGGUAGCCGAACUGAGAGGUUGAUCGGCCACAUUGGGACUGAGACACGGCCCAGACUCCUACGGGAGGCAGCAGUGGGGAAUAUUGCACAAUGGGGGAAACCCUGAUGCAGCAACGCCGCGUGAAGGAUGAAGGUUUUCGGAUUGUAAACUUCUUUAGUCAGGGACGAAUAAAUGACGGUACCUGAAGAAUAAGCCACGGCUAACUACGUGCCAGCAGCCGCGGUAAUACGUAGGUGGCGAGCGUUGUCCGGAAUUACUGGGUGUAAAGGGCGUGUAGGCGGGAAUGUAAGUCAGAUGUGAAAUCCCAGGGCUUAACUCUGGAGCUGCAUCUGAAACUAUGUUUCUUGAGUGCCGGAGAGGAAA
Molecule: ribosomal RNA, 544 nt
Filed under: uncultured bacterium
Lineage: Bacteria
Description: bacterial SSU rRNA
Rfam family: Bacterial small subunit ribosomal RNA
Source: RNAcentral